RNAcentral lists this long non-coding RNA (194 nucleotides) under Cyanistes caeruleus (blue tit). Its description in RNAcentral is "lncRNA (ENSCCEG00000013814.1)". Lineage: Eukaryota; Metazoa; Chordata; Aves; Passeriformes; Paridae. The record is from RNAcentral.
CUCUCACUUCAAUAUUCUCACAGAAAUUGCCUGCAGCACAUCCUGUAAAGACAUCCUAAUUUCUCUUCUCUCAACCUGUGAGACCUCAGCACUGGACCAUGUGACAAGUGGUGAAACUCAGGCAUAUUACAUGGUUUUCAACACAUCCUUUAGAAUUUACCCUCCAGGACAGAAAAUCCUCUCUUCAAUAAAAA